UACGAAGGGUGCAAACGUUGCUCGGAAUCAUUGGGCGUAAAGCGCACGUAGGCGGCUUUCUAAGUCGGAUGUGAAAUCCCUCGGCUCAACCGAGGACGUGCAUCCGAAACUGGAGAGCUCGAGUAUGGAAGAGGGUCGCGGAAUUCUCGGUGUAGAGGUGAAAUUCGUAGAUAUCGGGAGGAACACCAGUGGCGAAGGCGGCGACCUGGGCCAAUACUGACGCUGAGGUGCGAAAGCGUGGGGAGCAAACAGG
Molecule: ribosomal RNA, 253 nt
Filed under: uncultured bacterium
Lineage: Bacteria
Description: partial 16S ribosomal RNA
Rfam family: Bacterial small subunit ribosomal RNA
Source: RNAcentral